RNAcentral lists this unclassified non-coding RNA (239 nucleotides) under Myrmecridium sp. RNAcentral's name for it is "partial internal transcribed spacer region". The stretch from base 1 to 46 matches the Rfam family "Eukaryotic small subunit ribosomal RNA", at positions 1786 to 1831 of the family's 1831-position model. Lineage: Eukaryota; Fungi; Ascomycota; Sordariomycetes; Myrmecridiales; Myrmecridiaceae. The record is from RNAcentral.
AAGUCGUAACAAGGUCUCCGUUGGUGAACCAGCGGAGGGAUCAUUACGAGAGUGUCACCACUCCCAACCACUGUUUACCUACCCGUCCAUCGUGCCUCGGCAGGCAGCCCUGUGGGACAGAGCCUCGCCCCCCGCUGGGGGGGUGCCUGCCGCUGGCCGACCAAAAACUCUAGCUGUUUAGUACCAUCUGAGUCUUCCACAAAUGAACAAAACUUUCAACAACGGAUCUCUUGGUUCUG